UGGGGAAUAUUGCACAAUGGGGGAAACCCUGAUGCAGCGACGCCGCGUGAGUGAGGAAGUAUUUCGGUAUGUAAAGCUCUAUCAGCAGGGAAGAAAAUGACGGUACCUGACCAAGAAGCCCCGGCUAACUACGUGCCAGCAGCCGCGGUAAUACGUAGGGGGCAAGCGUUAUCCGGAUUUACUGGGUGUAAAGGGAGCGUAGGCGGCGGGGUAAGCCAGAAGUGAAAGCCCGGGGCUCAACCACGGGACUGCUUUUGGAACUAUCCGGCUGGAUUGCAGGAGAGGCAAGUGGAAUUCCUAGUGUAGCGGUGAAAUGCGUAGAUAUUAGGAGGAACACCAGUGGCGAAGGCGGCCUGCUGGACUGUAACUGACGUUGAGGCUCGAAAGCGUGGGGAGCAAACAGGAUUAGAUACC
RNAcentral lists this ribosomal RNA (414 nucleotides) under uncultured bacterium. Its description in RNAcentral is "bacterial SSU rRNA". It matches the Rfam family "Bacterial small subunit ribosomal RNA", at positions 355 to 786 of the family's 1533-position model. The record is from RNAcentral.